UACGGAGGGUGCUAGCGUUGUCCGGAAUCAUUGGGCGUAAAGCGCGUGUAGGCGGUCCGGUAAGUCCGCUGUGAAAGUCGGGGGCUCAACCCUCGGAUGCCGGUGGAUACUGUCGGGCUUGAGUACGGAAGAGGCGAGUGGAAUUCCUGGUGUAGCGGUGAAAUGCGCAGAUAUCAGGAGGAACACCAAUUGCGAAGGCAGCUCGCUGGGACGUUACUGACGCUGAGACGCGAAAGCGUGGGGAGCAAACAGG
Molecule: ribosomal RNA, 253 nt
Filed under: uncultured bacterium
Lineage: Bacteria
Description: partial 16S ribosomal RNA
Rfam family: Bacterial small subunit ribosomal RNA
Source: RNAcentral